RNAcentral lists this long non-coding RNA (1041 nucleotides) under Equus asinus (donkey). Its description in RNAcentral is "lncRNA (ENSEASG00005025704.1)". The record is from RNAcentral. Lineage: Eukaryota; Metazoa; Chordata; Mammalia; Perissodactyla; Equidae.
UAUUCACAAAUCAUUCAGGAACAUGAGAGAACCAGGAAGAACUGUCUCCCAACAGAAAUCAACAAAUUUCUUUAAUUUUUUAAAGGCCAAGUGUGAACUGAAAUAUUAGCUUAGAAUAAGUAGGAGCUCUGACAUGACAGUAGUUCACUUUAACUCAGGAGCUCCUUUCUGCAAGCCUUCACUGGGUGCUAAUGAGGAGGAGUAGGGCAGGAACCUGGCAAGAAGAAAUCCCUCAGUGACACAGGCAUGCAAGAAGUGGUUGAUGGAAUCGUACUGGGUGAUAGCUGUGAAACACUGCCCAGUUCCUCAGACCCUUCUCUUUUAGAGUAAAAGCCAUUAGCCACUGUGGGGAGAGAGAGCAAACCUUCCUGCCUCCAGGGCUCAGGCAAAGAUCCACUGCCUCUGGGGGAGGGGUAAAUGCAAAAACAUUUUUCCCCUUGGGAGAGUUAGAAAACCUCUUGGCCCCAGGAUCCUGCACCAAUACCAAGCAGAGAUCUGCUAUCACUGGAAGAAGUGCAGGAACAUUUCUUCCGUUCAAGGACUGUGAGAAGUACUCUGUCAUGUUUGGCUGGCAUGGGGGAGGAGCUAGAAAUUCUGAGAGGCCCUACCUAAGCCUGAGGACAGACCAGGAGAAACGAACUUGUGCCACUCCCCAUCACCAACUCAGUAUCAAACAAUAAGCAACAGCAGCGCACCAUUUUGGGAGGCCCAAGAUUGUGGGGUGACAGAAUCAGCGAAGUCUCUCCUAAGUGAUCAAUGAAGACAAAUGCUCCAGAAAUACCUAGAGGAAAAGCGGCUGAAAAAAUUAAGAGAGAAACCUCAGCGACGACCAUUUAUAGUGGGUAUUUAUAGACCUGAUAAGCCUAUUAUGCUUUCAUCAAUACCAGCACACCAACCAAAAAAGAUAAUAAAACAGAAAGAAAAGUACCCAAUCAGGGAAGCCCUGCCAAAAAGAUCGAAGAAGAACCAGGCAAGGUCAUUUCUUUUAAAGUUGAUAGUGAAGAAAAUACUUUGGAAUCACAAACCAGUGUGACAAACGGA